UGGGGAAUUUUGCGCAAUGGGCGAAAGCCUGACGCAGCAACGCCGCGUGAGUGAUGAAGGCCCUCGGGUCGUAAAGCUCUGUCAGAGGGGAAGAAACUUUUGGGGGAGAAUAUCCCUUGAAACUGACGGUACCCUCAAAGGAAGCACCGGCUAACUCCGUG
This 161-nucleotide ribosomal RNA is filed under the name uncultured bacterium. RNAcentral describes it as "partial 16S ribosomal RNA". It matches the Rfam family "Bacterial small subunit ribosomal RNA", at positions 355 to 507 of the family's 1533-position model. The record is from RNAcentral.